Non-coding RNA from Henosepilachna vigintioctopunctata, 74 nucleotides. Lineage: Eukaryota; Metazoa; Arthropoda; Insecta; Coleoptera; Coccinellidae. The record is from the annotation of a GenBank genome assembly.
GCUUUCCGUGGCUCAGUCGGGAGAACAACCGACUUUGGUGCGGUAGAACUCGGGUUCGAUCCCCGGUAAAGGUA